Molecule: small RNA, 119 nt
Filed under: Pseudomonas sp. URIL14HWK12:I10
Lineage: Bacteria; Pseudomonadati; Pseudomonadota; Gammaproteobacteria; Pseudomonadales; Pseudomonadaceae
Also listed under: 3 other names
Source: RNAcentral
GUAUUUUUAUUUUGGGUACUGGUUCAGCCACUGGCGCGCCUGAUACCCCACAGGCGCCCACUCCCGGGUCGCCUGACACAGUGUUUGAAAAAACCCCCGGUCGGCCUCCCGACCGGGGG